UAGGGAAUAUCAGUAUUGGGCGAAAGCCUGAACUAGCAACGCCGCGUGUGCGAAGAAGGCCUUCGGGUUGUAAAGCACUUUUUGAGAGGAUGAGGAAGGACGGUACUCUCAGAAUAAGUCUCGGCUAACUACGUGCCAGCAGCCGCGGUAACACGUAGGAGGCGAACGUUAUCCGGAUUUACUGGGCGUAAAGCGCGUGUAGGUGGUUUGGUAAGUAGGGCGUGAAAGCUCCUGGCUCAACUGGGAGAGGCCGUUCUAAACUGCCGAACUAGAGGAUGGUAGAGUGAGGUGGAAUUCCGGGUGUAGCGGUGGAAUGCGCAGAUAUCCGGAGGAACACCAGUGGCGAAAGCGGCCUCCUGGACCAUUCCUGACACUCAGACGCGAAAGCUAGGGUAGCAAACGG
This 403-nucleotide ribosomal RNA is filed under the name uncultured bacterium. RNAcentral describes it as "bacterial SSU rRNA". It matches the Rfam family "Bacterial small subunit ribosomal RNA", at positions 355 to 775 of the family's 1533-position model. The record is from RNAcentral.